UAAACGACUCUCGGCAACGGAUAUCUCGGCUCAUGCAUCGAUGAARAACGUAGCGAAAUGCGAUACUUGGUGUGAAUUGCARAAUCCCGUGAACCAUCGAGUUUUUGAACGCAAGUUGCGCCCGAAGCCAUUCGGCCGAGGGCACGUCUGCCUGGGCGUCACGC
This 164-nucleotide ribosomal RNA is filed under the name Goodenia hederacea. RNAcentral describes it as "5.8S ribosomal RNA". The record is from RNAcentral. Lineage: Eukaryota; Viridiplantae; Streptophyta; Magnoliopsida; Asterales; Goodeniaceae.